Molecule: unclassified non-coding RNA, 5256 nt
Filed under: Megachile rotundata (alfalfa leafcutting bee)
Lineage: Eukaryota; Metazoa; Arthropoda; Insecta; Hymenoptera; Megachilidae
Description: uncharacterized LOC100879141, transcript variant X3
Source: RNAcentral
UUCGAUCGAAUAAAAUGUUUAGUUUCAAAAAAUUAUUUUUGGCGAAAUUCCUGCAUAGCUAAGACGAAUUUUUGUUCUUGUCACAAUAUCUAUUCGCUUUGCUCGCUAGGGGCCCUCCAAAUCGUCGUCAGCCUCCUUACGAUUUUACAUACUUCGUUUAUAGGUUUUUAUCGCCGUAACUUUUGUUAGAGUAAGAAAUUUGAACGCAUCAUACUUUUUGCAUUUCCAAUUGUUGAUGAAAGAUAUCGAAUGAAAAAAACCAAAAGUCUCUAGUAGGACGGGAAAUUCCCAAACAUUCUGACGACUAAGCGAGCGAAUGAGUCAGUCAGUGUUUGGUUAUAUAGUAUAUCGAUGAAUGAUCCCGUAUUGCAAGCAAAACGAUAGUAGCGCUGUACGGUGAAUGAAGUUUACAGAACUUUUAUGCUUUGUUAGAGUAUCCCAGCCAUUGUCACAGGUAUUUUCGAACCUGACUUACAUUAUACGUACAUACGAAUAUAAAAUAUACGUGUCGCGUGUACAUAAUGCAUAUGCAGAUUAUGAUCGUGUUUUAUACAAGUACGUAUUUACGGUUGUGAUACGGAGUAAACAUGACGGAAAUUAGAAACGACACUUGUAGUAGCGAUGGAAACGAAACAAUUGCACGGGGGCGGUAGGGUCGUGUAGGAGUUAAAGGGAAGGGAAAGGAUGCGUUCGAAGAAACGUAGAGUGCGCGGAAGAAAAUGUAUAAUCUUGCUUUACAUAACCUAUACUAUUGGGAUUCGAUUUAUUGCGAGUUUGGUGGGUUCGAUGCGUUUUCUAAACAUCCACGGAUCUGUCUGGAAUAAUGACUGAAGACGCAUCGGUUCGAUAGAAAAAAGAGUGAUGUUUACCAACUAAGAAACAGUUAUAGUUGGUUUCAUUGAAAAAGUUGGUGCACUUAUACGACUUUAUGCAACGCUUUUCGAGAAACGAGCGACCGAAAGACCAAAGUACAAUGAAAUAGUUAUGUUGCCUUCGACCGGUUACUUUAAAGCUAUCAAUUGUCCGUUUUACGAAAGUGGAACGUGCGAUAGACCUUACUGUCAUUUCAAGCAUUCGAAACGAGAAGAUGUUGGGGUUACCGCGGAAACAUCCGAGGCGGUGGAAAGCGGUACUGCGGGUCAAGUUCAGGAAUCAAAAUCUUGUACGAUGGUAUCAUCCGGUUCGGACGUUUUGCAAAAAUUAGUAACGGAAGCUGUUAAAAAGGUUCUCGCUAAUCAAGAUGCGACGAACGGUGACAAGUUUUCCUGUCAGAAUGUCGUUUCUCAGGUAGUGGAAGGUCUAACGCCGACAUUAACAUCCGGAUCAUCCGAUACUUUGGAUACCGUGGCGACGAAUACAACGGAGAAGAGGGUAGAUCCGUCAACGUCGCUCACUAAACCGGUUCCAUGCGUUUAUAAUCCCACGCCCAUCGCGGAGUUGAAGAAGCGACAUAUACCGAUAGUGUCCUAUAUGCCUACCAGGGAAAGCAGAGUAGCGGUAAAACGUAAAUGUUCUCCGGAUGGAACGAAACCAUGGCUAGCCAGAGGUUGCGAAGCAGUGGAACCACCUCGAACUGGUGAAAUUAAAUAUAAACCUACCGUGAUAACCAACUCUGAAAUUCGAGAUGCAACGCACAGUUACGUACCUACGUACAAAUCAGAGUCAGCUUCUACGUAUUUCUAUAACGAUGAGAGUUCGAAUGACUAUCUGUUUAAACUUAGGGAACCGUAUUAUCCAAAGUGUAAAAAAAGGAGGGAGGAGUAUGUUCCGAAGAAAGUGAAAGCUCCGUUAAAAACUUCUGAUGGAUCGAACAAAUCUGCAUUGGAUACAUUUGAAGGAAGCUUCGAUACAAUGGGCGAAGCAUCGGUACAUCCCAAAUCUAUUUCCACGAUUCCAUCUAGCGAGUCGUUUCAAUAUCCUCGUUUAGACGUGGAGCCAAAGUUUUCUGACGAUGACGACGUCGACAACGACGACGAGGAUGGCGGUGAUUUUGGCGGCGGCGAAGAUAAAGACGAGGCCGAUGAUGAGAACGAAGGCAAAGAAGAAGAUAAUGACGGUAACGAUCGAAAAGUAAAUAAAAUUGUUUCAGAAAAUGCUGAUCGUAUACCGGUAGAAGGGAAUGAAGUUUAUGGUAACGUUAGGAGACUCGAACGUUUAAAUAAGGGACACGAUGCGGUGGUAGAUACGUGGCCGAAAAUAAACGUUGUAAAGGAACGUGACGGUGAUGACGACAAGAGGAACUGUAACGGGAAAAUAUCGAGAAACAGUAAUGUUUCGAAACAAGAGGAAUCAUUAAGGGAAGAAAGUACGAAAUUGUUAGCGAGCGAAGGAAAAAAAGUAGCGGGAGUAAAUUCGGAUAGAGAACAUAAAAGGAGAGAUAAGUCUAAAGAAAAAAAUGUAAAGAGUCGCGAUAGUUCUCAUAAACGAUACAAAGAGAAACACGAUUCGAACGAUACGUCGCGUUCUGCGUCUCAUAGUAGAAGUAAAAGUAGGAGUCGUGCGAGACACGACAAAGAGAAAGAAUCGAAAGACGCGAAACGUGACAGGGAUAAAAGUAGGCACAAGGAUCAUAAAAAGCAUAAAAGCAAAGAGAAAGAGAGAGAAAGGGGCGAAACAAGACACAGAACUAGUAAGAGGGAUAAACGAGAAGAAGAUUAUCAGGAAUCGGGGAAACGCGACGAACGCGAAUCGAAGAAUCGUUCCGGUUCACCGAGAAGGCAGGAACGCGUCGAGAAGAGGAAUUGCGAGAGCAAUCAUUCGAAAACAAAUCGAAAAUCUGACGAUAGGACGAGUGGAAGAUUCCGCGCGCAUACGGAUCACAAGAAAAGAAAAUGUUCGACGGAUAGGUCAGCGAGCGACGACGAGGACGAGGAGAACAGCAAUAAUCGUAAUAGUAUCGUGGACGUGGACUUAACAUUUAGUACAUCCGAUUCGGAUCACGACGUACAAGAGGAGUGCCUAAAAAUAUUUCAGGAAUAUCAAGUAUCGGAACGGCCGAAAACGACAGAAGCAUCGAAAGAAUCUUCAUUGUCGAUUCACGAAAAGGAACAUAGCGAAGAGGUUGGUAGGAAAAGAGUGGCGCAUCCUUCAGCGGCUGUAUGCGUUACCAGACACACGGGGGUUAACCAGCAAGGAAAAAAAUUGAUAAAUCCACAACAGAAAAUGUACGAAAGGUGGCGUUUGAUGCGAGAAGCUCUAGUAAAAAAGACUACUUCUGCGAGUGGUGGCGUUGGUGAUGGUGGUAGUAGUUGUUGGGUUGGUGGCGGAGGAGAAGAAGGAGAAGGAGGAGGUGGUGGUGGUGAUGAAGGUACCGGUGACAAUUGCGAUAUCGAUAUCAAUGCCAGUACCGGUAUCGAUCACGAUGGCGAUCGCGAUGGCGAAGACAACGGUAGUAGUAGUAAUAGUAACGUUACCAAGGAUGUACCUCGUAAUUCCGUGGAAACAAGAAGAAAUAGAUGUAACAACGAACUCAAGCUGAACGGAGGAAAUGGUCGAGUACGAAUCGCCCAUGUGCCGUAUGGGAAAUCCUUAGCGAUAGAGGGGAAGAAAAUGAAAGAAAAAGCGAUAAAACUGACAGAAACUAAAGUGACGGAUAACCAAAAAACAGCUGCGCAGACGGCCAAGAGUGGCUUACGGAUCGCUCACGUUCCACAGGUGAUUCCACAAUUGAUACGACCCGAACCGUUACAAGUGGCUACGCAAAAGUUUCCUUUAAAUGUUCGCCAGUAUUACGUGAAUAUGAUGCACGACAUAUGCGUUUCGAUUUACACGAAUGCCGAAGAUGCGGCGCAACGCGCGGUUAAAGAAGAACACGCUUGCCACGAAAGAUGCAAAGCUUUAGCCGUUUAUAAAAAUUCUUGUAUGCUUGCCGCGCACAGAUUAAAGAAAGAAAUUGAGCAGAAUCAAUCAGCGACGGCAACGACAUCGGGUAACAGCGUAGUGUCUCACGAAGCGGUACUCGCCGGAAAAACAAAGGGUUCUUGGAGUGUCAUUAAGACGAAGAAAUGCGUGACAGACUUUAAAGGGGUAGCACUGUACGGUAUGUUGAAGAAAUGGAUAAUGACGGAACAACAACUUCGAGAUAACGGAUUUCCUCGUCCACAUCCGGAUGGUCAAAAGGGUCGUGCGAAAGUUUACGUGAUCAAUUCUCGGAAUCAGAGUGUCUUGUCGAAAGUGCCUAACGAAAGAAUUUGUUGCCGAUGCGGUCAGACUUACAUGAUCAAUAAAUACGGAUUUGCAUUGCAACCACAAAAUUGUAUAUAUCACUGGGGUAGAAAAUUCACGAUCAGAGGAGAGGGUAAAUACAGUUGCUGUCAACAGUAUGGUUCAGCGACCGGUUGUUGCGUCGCGAAGACCCACGUUUGGGAUUAUACCGAUUACGAAAAUCUUCGUGGUUACGUGAAAACUUUGUCAAAAGGUACACCGGCCGAAGAACAAGGAGUUUACGCGCUAGACUGUGAAAUGUGUUACACGACGCAAGGAUUAGAAUUGACGAGAAUAACGAUCAUCGAUGAAGAUUGCAACGUAGUGUACGAGGCGUUGGUCAAGCCUCAAAAUCCCAUAAUCGAUUACAAUACAAGGUUUUCUGGAAUAACGGAAGAAAGCAUGAAGGACGUAACAACAACAUUAUUGGACGUCCAAGCAACGAUAUUGACGAUGUUCUCGGACAAAACGAUAUUGGUGGGUCACAGUCUCGAGAGUGAUUUCAAAUCUUUGAGACUGUUACAUGACACAGUGGUCGACACGAGCGUCAUGUUUCCACACAAGAACGGAUAUCCACAAAAGAGAGCAUUGAAAAAUCUUUGUUCCGAAUAUUUGAGAAAACUCAUUCAAAAUGACGUCGGUGGACACGACAGUAAAGAAGACGCAAUGGCAUGUAUGGAGUUGAUUCUUUGGAAAGCGAAAGAAGAAGCGAAGUUGCAAUAAAACGACGCUUAACCCGAAUAACUGUUCGAUCCGACCUAAUCACGUAUUUCGUUCCAAACAUUGUACUUUACUUUACGUAUAAAGUACACGAUAUACGCGUGUCAGCAAGUUAAUUAUAGAAUCGAUUGUCAUUGCUUUGGAUGUUUGGAAUAGUUCGGAUGUCUCUAGCGAACAUUCGUAUCACACUCGUUGAACACAAGGGUCGAGUAAGGCGAAGGGUAUCGGCCGCAGCGCGUCUGUUUCUUUGGUUGUCUUUAAAAUUCUACAAGAUGUAAACUUAUUUUUGGAAGUUAAAACUCUUGCAAUAAAUAAACUGGACUAUUUUGUACA